GACGAACGCUGGCGGCGUGCUUAACACAUGCAAGUCGAACGGAAAGGCCCUGCUUUUGUGGGGUGCUCGCGUGGCGCACGGGUGAGUAACACGUGAGUAACCUGCCCUUGACUUUGGGAUAACUUCAGGCAACUGGGGCUACUACCGGCUAGGAGCUCCUGCUGCAUGGUGGGGUUCGGACCGUUUCGGCGGUUGGGGGUGGACUCGCGGCUUAUCAGCUUGUUGGUGGGGUAGUUGCUUACCAAGGCUUUGACGGGUAGCCGGCCUGAGAGGGUGACCGGCCACAGUGGGACUGAGAUACGGCCCAGACUCCUACGGGAGGCAGCAGUGGGGAAUAUUGCACAAUGGGCGGAAGCCUGAUGCAGCAACGCCGCGUGCGGGAUGACGGCCUUCGGGUUGUAAACCGCUUUCGCCUGUGACGAAGCGUGAGUGACGGUAAUGGGUAAAGAAGCACCGGCUAACUACGUG
Molecule: ribosomal RNA, 468 nt
Filed under: uncultured bacterium
Lineage: Bacteria
Description: partial 16S ribosomal RNA
Rfam family: Bacterial small subunit ribosomal RNA
Source: RNAcentral